UCCACUGAAAUACUGAUCUAGCAGUCAGAGGCUGAGCUGGGCUCGUGUAGAUUGGGAGCAUCCCUGAGGAGCUCUGAUGGAGCAGAUCAGCAGAGCUGAGUCUCAUUGAGAUGGGGAAAGCCAGGAUGCUUCAGAGACCAUAAAAUAGAGCUGCUAUUUCAGGAAAGGGAGAAUGUUUGGUCUAGCCAGUGGUUGCCUCUAAAAAUACUUCAAAUAUCAAAAACAGGACAGGCUAUAUGCAUAUUUACCAAAAGGAGAAAAUGAACCACCAGGCAUCUUGCCUUUCAGAACAUUUCACUGGAGGUGAAAAACAUUGUUAUUCUCCAUGUCUGUCAAAAUUUUCCAUGACAAAACUUGAUUGGAAUAAGCAACUGUGAGCCCAAAAGUGCAUCCAGACCUGGAAGCAGAUGUGUGGGGAUAGGUCUGAUGCAGAGGUUUCUGCUUUUCCCUUCUGCUGUCAGGCUGUUGCUUCCAAUUUUCUGGAAGGGGAUUGAGGAACAAAGCACGUCCAUGAGCAGAGGCCACAGUAACUGCCCAGAGCAAAGAGCUCGAUUGUGAGGCACCAAAAUGAGUGCUCAUAAAAAUGGACAGGUCUGUGCUUUGAGCCAGAGCUGUUUGGUAUGAUCAAACAAUGCCCUCGAAUAGGGAAAAAAAUAAAAGUAUUCCUGACUGAAGAGCCUGUACUCAUGGCAGAAUCGAGCACUCCUGAAAGAGGGAUUGGAUGUGAACAUGACAGUGAAGAUCAGAACCUUCACCACAUCCACCCAGUGCAGGCAAGGAAUGUAGGGAAAAUGAUUAUGGAAUUUCCAUCAAAACCAAAUCUUAGUGACUUAGGGGUUUUUUGUUUGUUUGUUUGUUUUGCUUGUGGGUUUUUUUUUGUUCUUCAAGCUGAUGAAAUAGUGCUUCAAAGUGAUUGGUUUUUUUCAAGGUAGUAAGUGUGGUUUUUGUAAAAUGACAAAUUUCAUCAGGAUCAAAAGAGUUUUCAAACAACACAGCAAAGUCGUCUAGAAGAGUUUUACCUUUUGGUCAAGAAGUUAAAGCAAGCACAACGUUUUACAGCUUGCUUUUUCCUGGGAAUUUGGUGGUGAAUAGUCCACAUUAGGAAUCCAAACCUUACCCUUCUGCAGCAGUGUAAAUACCACUGGAACAGGGCACUCUUUUAAGUUGGGACAUUUUUAUUUUUGGCUCUUCUUCCUCAUGAAAGCCAGGCUGUGUAAGCCUCAGUAACAUGCAUAUGAUCACAGUAUAAUGACAUUUCUCGUGCUCCUUGCUGUUCUGGAGUCAGCUGGUGGAGCCUGGAUGGGGAGUGGAUUUAUCCACGUGGCUACU
Molecule: non-coding RNA, 1329 nt
Organism: Sturnus vulgaris (Common starling)
Lineage: Eukaryota; Metazoa; Chordata; Aves; Passeriformes; Sturnidae
Source: RefSeq, a predicted model, not a curated record